RNAcentral lists this ribosomal RNA (253 nucleotides) under uncultured bacterium. RNAcentral describes it as "partial 16S ribosomal RNA". It matches the Rfam family "Bacterial small subunit ribosomal RNA", at positions 524 to 776 of the family's 1533-position model. The record is from RNAcentral.
UACGUAGGCAGCGAGCGUUGUUCGGAGUUACUGGGCGUAAAGGGUGUGUAGGCGGUUCUUUAAGUUUGGUGCGAAAUCUCCCGGCUCAACCGGGAGGGUGCGCCGAAUACUGAGGGACUAGAGUACGGGAGAGGAAAGUGGAAUUCCUGGUGUAGCGGUAAAAUGCGUAGAUAUCAGGAGGAACACCGGUGGUGUAGACGGCUUUCUGGACCGUAACUGACGCUGAGACACGAAAGCGUGGGUAGCAAACAGG